Molecule: ribosomal RNA, 488 nt
Filed under: uncultured bacterium
Lineage: Bacteria
Description: bacterial SSU rRNA
Rfam family: Bacterial small subunit ribosomal RNA
Source: RNAcentral
UAGUCCUAGCAGUAAACGGUGCGCGCUUGCUGUAGGCGGAUUCGACCCCGUCUGUGGCGUAGCUAACGCGUUAAGCGCGCCGCCUGGGGAGUACGGCCGCAAGGUUAAAACUCAAAGAAAUUGACGGGGGCCUGCACAAGCGGUGGAGUAUGUGGCUUAAUUCGAUGCAACGCGAAGAACCUUACCUGGCCUUGACAUGCAUCUCUAAGCGUGUGAAAGCACGUGAGCUCUUCGGAGCAAUUUGCACAGGUGCUGCAUGGCUGUCGUCAGCUCGUGUCGUGAGAUGUUGGGUUAAGUCCCGCAACGAGCGCAACCCUUGUGUCCUGUUGCCACUCGAACUUCGGUUCGGAGCACUCUGGACAGACUGCCUGGUUCCAACCAGGAGGAAGGUGGGGAUGACGUCAAGUCAGUAUGGCCCUUACGGCCAGGGCUGCACACGUACUACAAUGCCUGGCACAGAGGGAAGCAAGACUGCAAGGUGGAGCAAA